AUGGCUGAUAUUGGCUGUGUUGUAUGGACUUGGGAUUCAGCUCCAUUCCACAUGUGUUAUUCCAGACCCAGGUUGAGGAGCAGUGACCCCCCCCCACCCCCGGGCACCUCCUCACCAUGCGGGGAGGAGACUCGGCUGCCUCGGCUCGGAACUGCCUCCCUGGACAUCCACACGGGGGGCUGCGAGCGGACUGGAGCGGUGGACCUUCACCAGUGGCUGACACCAGUGUGUCCUCACGUGGAGCUGAGAAGCCGCGGGACGACGGGGGUGCAGAGUGGGCUGAUGUGCCCGAGCCAGGGGACCCCGGAGCCCCCAGAGCUGGACGAGGCAGGGCCUUGGGAAAGGGCAGGGCCCCGCGAUGCCCUCACCUGGACUUGCGGCCCCCAGCAGGGGGAGGACAGCCCUCCACACCUAAGCUGCCCGCGUGGGCCCGUUUGAACAGCAGCCCCGGGAAGCUCCUACUUCAGGUAAUUUAUGUCAUGGAAAUGGCUUUUCUGGCUACAUCCUGAUCCCGUCCCCACCCCCCAAACAUUCCUGGGAAGGGAGAGGCACCGGAUAAGAGUGUCCCAUAAACCUGUCAUCUUGCGCAGAACCCCAGGAUCUACGCAGGGGCACUGGGAGCAGCCAAGGAAGCGGGAAGCCGGCGGUGUGGAUGGAAACACAUUUCCAGCAGAGCCCGCCCCGCGGAAGCCUUCCUCCUGGUGUUGGCUACGGGGCUCCUGGGGGGCCUCCUGCUUGGUGGCCUCGGGCCUCAGGUGGGCCUGGCCCCCACGGAUGCCGCUCUGCUCUGCGCGUCUUUGAGAAGCUCCUGGGAACUAGGUGGGCUCAGUGCUGAGCUGGGUGGAAGGGACACCUCCAAGGUCCCUCCGUGUCUGAGGCCUCAGCUUCGUCUACACCGGGGGCUGCGUGAGCUUUCCCCGUGGUGCCCUGGCGAAGUCAAGCUGCCGACCUGCGCCCUGGGUCGUCUUGGGCCGGGUCUCUGCCUGCGAGCACAGGGCUGAGGCCUAGCGGAGUCACGUUCGCCUUGCCUGGACAGUCUCCUCGGCCUGGAGGUG
Molecule: long non-coding RNA, 1055 nt
Filed under: Canis lupus familiaris (dog)
Lineage: Eukaryota; Metazoa; Chordata; Mammalia; Carnivora; Canidae
Description: lncRNA (ENSCAFG00040013812.1)
Source: RNAcentral